AAUAUAUACUGUGUAUUGAUGACACAACUUAAGGUUGGCCAAAUAAUACAAAAUAACCAAAAGGAAGCCAAAGAUUGGAAAAUGCAAAAGAUAAAAUAAUAAAAUUGUUGCUCACUGCAAAAUAGCUUUUGGCUUAAGUGCAUAAUUAAAUAAAUGUAAUUUUUAUUUAAUUAGAACAAUUACAAACAUCAUAUUGCACAAAUAUUAACCAUUUGACUAAUAUUUUGUUGUUUUUCGAACAUUUCGACAAAGCAUGUCUGAACUGUUACUGUACAUAAAAAAGGUCUGGCACGUCUUUUUUGAGAACAGUAAAAACAGCUAUUCGAUUCAGACUGAAGAUUCAUGUUACCCAUGUUUCUCAGCAUAGUAGACACAGACAAACUAGACUUACCCAAAUCUCCACCUCUCCUCCUCCAGCCUCUCCUCAGCCCUGAACAACUGUAGACACCCUGGACCGAUUGGAUCUGCCUCAGUGGAACAGUACAGUAGAUGCGGUGGCACUGCUGGCUUCACAUGGUGUCUGGAAAAGAAAAGGAAAAAUCUUUCGACAGUACAGACUGGUACGAGGCAUCAGAAGAGAGUGAGGCAGAGCUGCAGGAGAGGGAACAUGCUGACACACUGACAGGAGAAGUUCAGGCCCGGGCAGAGCCUCCUGCACCGAUGAACCGGUUGUCAAGAGGAACAGAUUUCGCCGUCGCUCCUGUCGCCGACAGAGACGCAUCAUCACCACCUUCGUCCCUUUGAGCCGGCGAUCCGCCUCGACAUUCCCUCUGAUCUGAUUCUCCCUGAAACGACCUAUUGAUAAGUGAUUAAAGCGCAGCAGAAGUUCCUGCCACAUCUCUGUCAGGUGUCGCCCACACCCGGAUGGCACAGCGUCUUCCGGCCAUUAAAUAUGAAUGACUCCAGUACAGGAGAUAAAGGCGAACGCUUUGGUUGUGAUGUUUGCCGCUUUUGGGUUUGGCUAAUUGCUAUGAAGUAAACAUAGUCUGUUCAUUAGGACUGGUUUUUGAAAAGUUUUUGAAAGCACGGCACGUACAUCAGUCCUACAGUCAGUAGCCAUUAGUCGGUGGAGUUUGUUAAUCGUAUCAUCGCUGUCAUUUGAGGACAUGAGCUGUGUGUUCAGGUUCGUGUUUAACGCACCCAAUGGUGAAACACAGACCAUAGACUCAAGGAAAAUAGUAGGAGGGUCUAUAGACCGUGACAGCUGGAAAUAAGCAAACAUUUUCUGCUCAUCCUUAUGUCAGUUGGGAUUCACUUUAGGGGAAAAACCAAAUUACAAGUUGAUGUGACUGUCUGAUACAGUACAGACAUUGUUGGCAUUUCUGUCCGGCAACAGUACUAGUCGUCCCUGCACUGAUCUGGAGAUGGUUUCCAAGACUCAGGUCCAAAAAGUCCUGCGUUUGUCCCCUGUCUACUUGAGUACUACUAGUAGCCAAGUUGUAUUUUAAGGAAGUACAACCAGGAGUUUAAUGACAGCAAAUUUUACAACACACACAUACUGUAGUUAAUUUUAAUCUUUUAAUCACAUAGGACUUCUCUUAGACAUCAUCAUCAUCAUCAUCAGGGCCAUCAUCGUUGUUUUAGUUUGACUUUUUUCCACUUAUUUUUUUACAAAUAGACACUGGCCAAAGGCAGAUCAUGGAGAAAUGAACGUGUCUACAUGGAGCUGGUGUUUACACUGAAGUUGAACGACAAUAAAGACAGACAUUUUAAGCCUGAAGUAAAUGUAAACAGAAACCUCUAUGGUUUAUUUUAAACAUGAGUCACAGUCCUCGGUUCACAGCACCCCCACCCUCUCCCCCCCUCAACGCCAGGUGCUACAGCCUGGUCGGUGCUGCCUGCUUGAGCCUGAGUUUCUUUUCAUUUUCUUCGAUAUAAGCCUCCGUCCCCAGAGAGUGAAAUUCAAACAGCAGGAGGUCCAGAGGGGCUGGACGAGGUACAGGCCGACUCAGGUCAGCCGCCACAUAAGACAACACAAAUAUGAAUUGUAUAUUAAAGUCGGUCACUCCGGAACACAUUUCAUAAGCCGACUAACCUUUCACCUGAGAAAAAAACGUUAUUUACCCAGGCGUUCGCUGCCCUCCCCGGUUACUCAAUCCAGCGGCAGUUAACCAAACAAUGAUUUUGUCUGAGAACAUUCUGAUAUUGGCUCUGCGGCAGCGUUGUCCAAUUUUUAAAGGCCUCCAGACAGAUCUGUAACACAGGUCAGGACCUUUCCAUCUCCCUUACCUCCUCUGCCCUCCUCCCCCGCCUCACUACUUGUUAAGGCUUAAUUGGCUGCCAUCUGACCUGGUCUCUGCCUCUUUAUACAGAACUGCUCAAAAUGCCACUCAUUUGCAGAAGCGGUCGAUGAAGAAGUCGUUUGAAUCAAUAGAUCUAAAUGAGUCAAUAGUAGCCCCGGGGAUUUUAUUGCCUGUGCUGUUUUAACCGCGGUGUCCUCCCACAGCCAGUGUUUAAUGCCAACACUACCAUUGACUAUUAUAGCUUUUCCACUUAUUCCUCUAUUCCUGUCAUUUCUUCUAGGUGCAAAUCUUGGACAUGGGGUGGCAGUAACUUAGCAACCAGCCUCAGAAUAAGAUCAGGGCAACGACAUAAAGUUUCCAUAAAUGGACGAGUGUGACAAUACGAAGCUUUGUCUCAUCCACUGAUAGACACACUCGGCAGCAACACUUACUUUUUUUACGUUUCACAUCUGCAGAGACAUCACCAGUUUUGUCCAAUUUUCUUUCUCAUUUUCUUUUAAACCCCCCCGGAGCUGGCAAAUUUCCACCCCUGCUCCAUCACUCAGUGAAAUAGUCAGUGGCAGGCGCUCAUCACAUUCAGACAGUGACGAGGAGGGAGAGUCGAUUGGAUGGACUGUUUCGGGAGAAUGCAUCUAUAAUAGAACUGGCUGAGAAAGGCCCAGUUAUUUAGGAAUGUGGCUGACGGCUGGUAACGUGUGAUGAGGGAUAUUGUUUCUUUACCCACUAGGAUUUUUUUUUUAACUUCACAGCCUACUAAUGCACAUGACACCAUGUUAUUGUUGCUGUAAAUCAUUGCUGAGUCAACAAAUGUGUCUCACUGGCUGCUGGUUUUGGAGUUGCAGUGCGUGAACCUGACUGAAGCCUCGCAGUAUAUGCAGCGUUCACAGUGUUCAUACAUAGCAGCCACGCCUCUUAAGUAAAGAGAAGAGGCAGUUUAACAUCUGUACGUAACAACGAAAAGACGUAGCUGUGUCCGAGAGCACCCCCUACACUCUACAUAGUGCAUUACAUACAGGCAAGCCAUGUUAUAUAGACCACCAGAUGUGAGUAGAUGUUGUCCACUAUAAGGAGCACUCAAUGUGUCCCACAAUGCACCGCAAAAUCUAGUGUACAACCAAUGUGCACUACCCAAGCAAUAUAUCCCACCAUGCAUUGCAGUUGUGACGACAUGGCGGAGAGAGGAACAGCAUUUGUCCAUCCGUUGGUUUAAAUUGUGCGACAGUAGUGACAUUUAACGACCCUAUACCACAUAGAAAGUGCUGAAGCCAGAAACAACUCUAAGAUGAUCAGUGUUAGACAAAAGAAAAAAAAGUUUUUAGCGACUUCUUCAAGCGUAGUUAUCUACGUUUGCUUUUGUCUGGAAGCCUACAGGUGGAGUAUUCUGGAACUUUGUGCGAGUAUACUGUAUGUUGUCUGGUACACAGCUGGUGCAUGAUUGCUGUUUAAAUUUGAUUAUAAUCAUAUUACUCAAAAAGACAUUAGACCAGAUGAGCACCUUAUCUUUAGCCUUUGAAAAUACUUAAAGCAUUGCCUACUUUUUUAUUAGAUUCAGUAGCACCCUAAAAUUUACUCAACAAAAAUAUAAAUACUGUAAACUUUUGUUUGAACAAAUAAUAUCUA
Long non-coding RNA from Cynoglossus semilaevis (tongue sole), 3863 nucleotides. RefSeq lists it as uncharacterized. The transcript is spliced from 4 exons. The record is from RefSeq and is a predicted model, not a curated record. NCBI's taxonomy places the organism in Eukaryota, Metazoa, Chordata, Actinopteri, Pleuronectiformes, Cynoglossidae.